This 473-nucleotide ribosomal RNA is filed under the name uncultured bacterium. RNAcentral describes it as "bacterial SSU rRNA". It matches the Rfam family "Bacterial small subunit ribosomal RNA", at positions 28 to 382 of the family's 1533-position model. The record is from RNAcentral.
GAUGAACGCUAGCGAUAGGCCUAACACAUGCAAGUCGAGCGGGCAAUUUAUCUAGCACUGAUUACUUCAAAUGGCUAUCGCCAGUGUAAUCAUGAAUUUCUACCUUUAAUAAGGAAAAAAGAAAUUCAUGUACGCAAAUAGUGAUAACACAUUUUAGUGAAGUGAUGAGUGCUGGAUAAAUUGCUAGCGGCGGACGGGUGCGUAACACGUGGGUAACCCUGCCCCUAUCACUGGGAUAACACACUGAAAAGUGUGCUAAUACCAGAUAAUAUAAGCUUUUGGCAUCAUUAGCUUAUCAAAGAAUUUCGGAUAGGGAUGGGCCCGCGUCUGAUUAGCUAGUUGGUGAGGUAACGGCUCACCAAGGCAACGAUCAGUAGCCGACCUGAGAGGGUGAUCGGCCACACUGGAACUGAGACACGGUCCAGACUCCUACGGGAGGCAGCAGUAAGGAAUAUUGCUCAAUGGCCGAAAGG